Non-coding RNA from Angiostrongylus cantonensis (rat lungworm), 71 nucleotides. NCBI's taxonomy places the organism in Eukaryota, Metazoa, Nematoda, Chromadorea, Rhabditida, Metastrongylidae. The record is from Rfam.
AUUUCGGUGGUUCAGUGGUAGAAUGCUCGUCUGCCACACGGGCGACCGGGGUUCGAUUCCCGGCCAAUGCA